Molecule: non-coding RNA, 23 nt
Filed under: Rattus norvegicus (Norway rat)
Lineage: Eukaryota; Metazoa; Chordata; Mammalia; Rodentia; Muridae
Source: RNAcentral
UAAAGUCUUGAACUGGAAUCGAC